GGGCGUUUAGCUCAGUUGGCUAGAGCAUCUCGUUUACACCGAGGAGGUCGGGGGUUCGAAUCCCUCAACGCCCACCA
This 77-nucleotide transfer RNA is filed under the name bacterium. Its description in RNAcentral is "tRNA-Val". It matches the Rfam family "tRNA". Rfam says of the family: Transfer RNA (tRNA) molecules are approximately 80 nucleotides in length. The record is from RNAcentral.